RNA transcript from Zea mays, 3557 nucleotides. RefSeq lists it as uncharacterized. The record is from RefSeq and is a predicted model, not a curated record. The transcript is spliced from 3 exons. NCBI's taxonomy places the organism in Eukaryota, Viridiplantae, Streptophyta, Magnoliopsida, Poales, Poaceae.
UAGGGUCUGGAAACAAACCAUGGAGCCAUGACCACUCUGUGACCGAGGGGACCGGCAGCGGCGUAAGGAGUCUUCCUCUCUAACGCUGGCAACGUCGACACCGCUGGCAAGCUUCUCUCCGAUUGUCCCUGCUCCAGUAAGAGUAGGCGAGGACGAGCCUCCCCCAUCUUGGGUGUUGGUGCCUGACCCAUUUUCUCAAGAGAUGGGCUUCGCUCCGAUACCAGCUGUGACGGAACCUCCCAAGUCAUUAGGCCCACCUACAGUUUCCUUGUCCAACGGACCUCAGAUAACCCUGCAGGUGCACCUGAUUACUUGACAAGUUCGGUAUCUAAAUUCCUUACCUUCCCAAGAGUGUUUUACCCGUCACGCAGACAUUACAAUUCAUUGGAGAUACGGAAAUGCGGAAGCAGUUACAAUAACUUACUUUUAUUGAAAAGUAAGACAGAGUUAAAUAUUUACAGACCAGAAUAUAAUAUAUGAGUGCUGAGUAUUAUUAUUACAAACCAUGGGAGGCAAAAACCCCUCCCGAAUAAGCAGUAAAUAGUUUUUAACGGAGGGCCUUCCCUCCCGCAGCUUUAGUCUUGGUUCUCUUCUUUGGGUACCACCUUUAAACAGAAGCAACAAAAGUUUGUCGCUUCUUCACCUAAAACAACAUGGGACAAAGCCCUAAGUAUGAAGUGUACUUUCGCAAGACUUACCCGACAAAGUAAAAAGACUCUCAAGGUUAUGCUGGCUUUAAGGGAGUCAAGGUAAGGCUUAUCAAUAAUCAAUGACUCUGUUUGCAGAAAUGCUUACUAAAAGUGGAUCCUUAAAAAUCCAAUUUUAAUUGUCAGAUUAAGUAAGAUUACAUGCAUCUAGAGUUUUCUCUACCCUAGUUCAAUCACUUGACCUGCACUAGCCAAUUUCUUAACAACCCUUCAUCUUUAUUGGAUUUCUACGUAUAGGUCAGUGACCAAGUCUUCAUGUCCGUGAAGUUACGGCGGUCUGAAUCGAUUAUACUCAGCUGAGGAUCUCCAAUCACACGACAUAUGUAGCACUUAACCCUUGCAUUUGUCAACUCACCACCGGGGUUCUUAAGACUAGAUCAGGUUCAUGCCAACCGAGAGCACAGAUACACCACCAUCCAGCCUCUUGCCACGGAGGGUACACGCUACUCUCGCCAUCUCUCCACGCCCAUUGUGUGUUAUCUUAUUCUGGUAUUAGUCUGCCCGAGGCAAAGCUUACCCAUGACAAGGCAUGUGACCAGUUAAAGGGUCCUCGGUCAGCAGGCCUACAUCGAGAUGGUCCUUAAUCGACUCAGACGGAGACACUACACCGAGACUCUCUUCUCGUGCAAGCCACCCGCUCGGUCUCAGCUUAAUCAUUUCAAACCCAAAGUUUGGUACUUGUCAGAGGAACACCUUUUUUGAUGUCGAACCCAUCAUGGCCAUGAUGGAUCUGUAACACCCCAGGUGUUACUUAGGGUUUUCACUCAAGACUACACAAGUAAGCCCAUCAUCACAUGUGACUUAAGUUGGGAAAAGUACACCAAAUUUGGAGCUCAAGAUCCUAAGUAAGUGCAACCCAUCCUAGAAGUCAUACCUUGGCUUGUCAUGCACAUAUAAUGGAGAGAAUUGCCCAAACCCUAAUUCAAACCCCUUUGGACAAGUGGAGCACUAGAAGUAAGUAUGAUCAAAAGGCUAUGAAAACCACAUGAUCAUGACUUGGGCCAAUUAUAAAAGAUGUAGUACACUUAAAACCCUACAAAUGAUAGUAAGAAAGUGACCUCAAAAAGAUUUUAGAGAAACCCCAAAAGGUUCACCAAAGGGUUGAGCAUAAAAGGAAAAUCAGAAUUCUUCUAAGUCCAAAACCACCCCUUUUCCAACGAUCAAACAUGUUCACCCUCAUUCAAACUUCAAAACCACUUGGCCCAAUUGACAAAGUGGCGCCAAAAUACCCCUAGAACACCCUGGAAAAGUUUGAACCCAACCCUAAGUCGUUUGACACGACUUGGCAAAAGAUUUGUCUCGGUUUGGACAGCUAGGACAAAGACAACUUCCCACCCUCAUAUCUCUCUAACCCGACCACAUCUCCCCUUGGAACUCACAUGAACUAGGUAGCCCUAGGUGCAGGGAAGAGAUCUCUCAUAGGUCUUAGGGCAAGAUUCGCACGUUUUGGCCGCUCAGUGGAGGGUAGAACCAGAACAGAAGCAAAGAUCCACGUGUUCGUCGCGCUCUGAGCUCGCCAGAGCACGCCCAACGCCCGCCCCCACGUGCCCCGCGUCGCGCCAAAGCCGAGCCAGCGCCGUUGCCCACGCCCGCGCCUAUAAAGCCCUCAGGGACUUCGACUGUACUCCUCCGCACGCGCUCGACCUCACCAGAGCACCAGAUCACCGGCAUUGCCCCGCGCACGGCGUGCCCUCGGCCACCCAAUCACCCACCACCGUAGACCGGCCACCAGAGCCUCUCCCAGCCGCGUCCGACCCUCAGAGUAGACCGUGCAUGCCUCGGUGAAGCUCCCCGAGCAAGGAAUCGAACUUUGCCUUGCCGGAGAAGCCAGUCCACGAUUGCCGGACUUCACCCGACCGCCGGUGAACGUAGACCGAGCUCCACGGUGAGUUAUUUUUCAAUUCCUUGCACGUGUCGACUCAUCAACACCCUGUGAAGCUUCCCGUGCAAUUGGAUUGACUGUAAUCGCCGUGGUUAGGCCGGAACACUCGCCGCCGACGAGUUCACCCGCCUACGCACGUGGACCGGCCGAAUCCGACCACCACCGCCGUCGAGCCGUACCUCGCUGUGACCCCUAGAACCUCCCAGAGCCAACCCCGCCCCUCGCCGGACCUCUCUCGCCGCCGGUAAGCCGCGCCACCCUUUUUCCUUCCGCGGUUACUGUUUUCAUAAGGGGAGGGACCUCGGGGGAGAAGAAGAAAAGGCCAGGGGGUUUUGUGCAUUGUCAGCGACUCAAGGGAAUAGUGGCGCAGGGGUAUAACUGUAGGGAUUAGUUUAGAAAGAACCCAGGGUCUUCGAUGCAAAGUGGAUUUCCAGAAAACCUUUUUAAUAUUCUGAUUUAAAUGAAACCAGAACUUGAGAAAUUCAUAAUUUCAGUUUGAUUCAUCCAAAUCAAGUCAAACCAAUUUUGCUAGAUCCUAAAUAAUAUAAACUACUUAGGAAAAAUAUAAAACCCCUAAGUGUUGCAAAAAACUUUAAAGUUAUGAUUUAAUUGAUUAUCUAGUCAAAACCUAAAGAAAAUAAGGAAAAUAGCUACACUAUUAGACUGGGGUUAAUAAAAUUCAGAGAAGUACUUAAUCACUUCCUAACCUGUUUAAAAAUAAUAAACUCUUCUGUACACCAAAUUAAGGUAGAGUUUGCCAUUUAAAUCAUUUUUAGCCUAAAGUUAGAGAAAAUAUAAAAUGUAGUUUAAAAUAAGAACCAGGGAGCACCCACAUUUUUGUUGGCUCCCUUAUUCAGUGUAGUUCACUAGAAAAAAUUAAUAUACCUUUGUUUGGUACAAAAAAAGGAGAUACCUUUUAAUUUAGAAAAACAAGGAAAAUUUAGACAAAUCCUAGAAAAAUAACCCUG